This 529-nucleotide ribosomal RNA is filed under the name uncultured fungus. RNAcentral's name for it is "SSU rRNA". It matches the Rfam family "Eukaryotic small subunit ribosomal RNA", at positions 288 to 822 of the family's 1831-position model. Lineage: Eukaryota; Fungi. The record is from RNAcentral.
AAUGGGUUCAUUCAAAUUUCUGACCCUAUCAACUUUCGAUGGUAGGAUAGUGGCCUACCAUGGUUUUAACGGGUAACGGGGAAUUAGGGUUCUAUUCCGGAGAGGGAGCCUGAGAAACGGCUACCACAUCCAAGGAAGGCAGCAGGCGCGCAAAUUACCCAAUCCCGACACGGGGAGGUAGUGACAAUAAAUACUGAUGCAGAGCUCUUUAGGGUUUUGCAAUUGGAAUGAGUACAAUUUAAAUCCCUUAACGAGGAACAAUUGGAGAGCAAGUCUGGUGCCAGCAGCCGCGGUAAUUCCAGCUCCAAUAGCGUAUAUUAAAGUUGUUGCAGUUAAAAAGCUCGUAGUUGAACCUUGGGCCUGGCUGGCCGGUCCGCCUCACCGCGUGCACUGGUCCGGCCGGGCCUUUCCUUCUGGGGAGCCACAUGCCCUUCACUGGGUGUGUCGGGGAACCAGGACUUUUACUUUGAAAAAAUUAGAGUGUUCAAAGCAGGCCUAUGCUCGAAUACAUUAGCAUGGAAUAAUAGAA